GACGAACGCUGGCGGCGUGCUUAACACAUGCAAGUCGAACGGAAAGGCCCUGCUUUUGUGGGGUGCUCGAGUGGCGAACGGGUGAGUAACACGUGAGUAACCUGCCCUUGACUUUGGGAUAACUUCAGGAAACUGGGGCUAAUACCGGAUAGGAGCUCCUGCUGCAUGGUGGGGGUUGGAAAGUUUCGGCGGUUGGGGAUGGACUCGCGGCUUAUCAGCUUGUUGGUGGGGUAGUGGCUUACCAAGGCUUUGACGGGUAGCCGGCCUGAGAGGGUGACCGGCCACAUUGGGACUGAGAUACGGCCCAGACUCCUACGGGAGGCAGCAGUGGGGAAUAUUGCACAAUGGGCGGAAGCCUGAUGCGGCAACGCCGCGUGCGGGACGACGGCCUUCGGGUUGUAAACCGCUUUCGCCUGUGACGAAGCGUGAGUGACGGUAAUGGGUAAAGAAGCACCGGCUAACUACGUG
Molecule: ribosomal RNA, 468 nt
Filed under: uncultured bacterium
Lineage: Bacteria
Description: partial 16S ribosomal RNA
Rfam family: Bacterial small subunit ribosomal RNA
Source: RNAcentral